Molecule: long non-coding RNA, 1928 nt
Filed under: Limulus polyphemus (Atlantic horseshoe crab)
Lineage: Eukaryota; Metazoa; Arthropoda; Merostomata; Xiphosura; Limulidae
Description: uncharacterized LOC106475535
Source: RNAcentral
UAUUAAUUUUCACGAUGUUAGAGAUUUAUGGAUAUUAGGACUUUUUUGUAUAUACAGGUGUUUCAUAUGUUGCCCAGUAUUGUUAGACAAUCACGAAAACUGAAAGAUACAUGGAGAGUGGCUUGUAAAGAUAAAAUGAGAAAGACACUUUGUAACACACCAUUUGUCUCCUGGAGGGCUCUUUAGUAAUGUUAACUGCUAUACUUUUGGUUUGAAGGAAUUGUUUCACCAAUAUGCUUACUGUUGCUUUUGUAAUUGUGCCCUCUGGUAGCCAAUUGGUGUUUCACUACGCGUCCGACACGUCACAAUUUCCUUUGUUUUUUCACUUGAAUUAAUAUUUUCCCAUAAAUUUCUAAAUCUCUUUCAGAAAUAAGAUAAACCUCUGUUGUGUAUAUAACAAGAAUAACUCAAAAAAACGUUAUACCUGUUUAGCCCCAUUGUGGCUCAGCGGGUUUAUGACAUAACGGUCAGAUUUUGGCGGGCAGAGCACAAAUAGUCCAUUGCGUAGCUUUGCGCUUAACAACAAGGGAACCGAACAACACCUGCAUAGAUUAAAACCCUGCUUUCUGUGUUACUAAUACAGCUUUGCGUGAUGGAAACCUCCUCUUAUAAAAUUGCUCUUUAUGUCUGUAAUUUAUAUUUAUAGUUCAUUGUCUGUGUAAAAUGUUUGUUUGUUAUACAUUUACUAUUAUAAAAUUUAUUUCACCACCUCUGACAAGAUCCUUGAAGUUCAGUUUAUUUAACAAUUCCUCACUGAAUGGUGUAAUUUUUUGAUAACUUUAACCACAACCUUGUAGCAAAGAAAUUUUUUGUAUUCUCGCUUCAAAUACUUUGUAACUAGAACUUACCGUAGAACUCUUAUAAUGAGAGAAAAGUCUUCAGGAGCUAAGAUCUUUUAUCUUUAGGCUGACAUUCUUUGUUCCCUGAGCUCUUGCUUACGGAACUGUGGAAACUACAAAGUGAGGAUUAAUGCCACAGCAGCACUAACGAUUCCAACCAAAAGGAUACAUUAUGAUACUCUUUUACCUCAAGUCUGGUUAGAUCUAGUGUCAGCUCUGGAAUCAACACAGGAGGAUGUCGAUUACAAAGAACUCGAUCAUCAUCAGGCUUGGUGUUGUCAGCUCUUUCUUAGUUUGUGUAAUCUAAUUAAUAUAUUGGAACCUCAAGAUGUCUGUCAAGUAUCUCAGUCCACUCUAGCAGCCCAAGAUUACUUACUGAGUCUUACCAGUAAGGUUGUAAAGAAAGGUUGUGAUGACAAAUAUGAUGUGCUGAUACAAGCUUUGAAGCAAAUUAGAAACCUGCUAGAGGUAGAAACGCUGAACGACACUGACAGAGAUUUCUUGAAUAACCUUGGUGAAGCAAUUAAUAUUGUUUUAUCAUCUGAAGAAAGAACAGCUACAAGCUAAGACAACUAUAUUUAAAAAGUAAUUAUUUUACAUAGAUAUGUGUUUUCUGUUACACAUAUUAUUAUAAAAGCAAAAACGUAUUAAAGAUAUAUAUAUGUAUGUGUGUGAAAUGAUAGAGAGAGAAUUGUUAAUUGAUUACUGUAAAAAGACAGAACAGAGUUUAAUCGUGUCACAAAAUCAGUAAAACUUAUAAAUUAGUGAUUGAUCAGAGUGACAGGAUAAGGUCAUGUUUGUCACUAAACUUAAAUAACUGUUAUUAAUUAUUGGUUGAUCAGUGUGAAAGGGCAAUAUAGUAUUUAAUCUUGACGUUACAAAGCCAACUGCAAUGAUGUUGAAUAAAACGUUUAUUUACUCUGAUGUGAAGGUAUGUAAUGGAUGAAAGAAAAGUUGUUUCGUAAAGAGAAUGCAAAUUUUUUAAAAUAUAAAGAUUUUUUUUGUUAUUUAUCUAUUAAUAGAUCACUAACGAUUAACUUUAUACACAAGCAAUUGUACGAAAUGGAUGACUGAAUAAAAAGAUUUGGU